Ictidomys tridecemlineatus (thirteen-lined ground squirrel) is the source of this 5873-nucleotide non-coding RNA. Lineage: Eukaryota; Metazoa; Chordata; Mammalia; Rodentia; Sciuridae. The record is from RefSeq and is a predicted model, not a curated record.
GCUAGGCCACCUGCAGUGAUGACAAAAGGACCCCAUGCUGGCUAGGCCACCUGCAGUGAUGUCCCGGCUUUCACGUGGGACCAUGCGGAGUGGAGAGGGACUCCAACCAGCGCUCUCUGCAUGCAAACUGUGGGGAGCUGGAAGCACUUUGACUUCUGUUUGUGCCUGAUACCAUCAGGUGACAAUGGGGAAUCCAGAGGUGUCAUGUGGACACUGACCUAGUGUGGAAGAUGCUGUGAGGGCUCAGUGGCCAUGUCUGGUGGCCUGUAUCCAAGCUUUCAUCAUGGAUGGGGACGCUCAGGUCCUGGACUGCAAGAGGCUGUGGAGGGUCCAGAUUUUCACUGUAGGUGGGGACAGACACACUAGGAGGAGACCUGUGCCCAGCUUGUUCACUCAGGGUGUUGGCCUGAGCUUGGGGUGGACUUCUGCCUGCACUGGUGGACACUCUGAGUGAGCAGAACUGAACAUCACAUUGUCCGACCAGGGUCCCUGCUGGCAUGAGUGAUGGGCCCUGGGGGCAGGGACACCUGUCCAUUUGUCUGUCGGUGUUCGCCCUUCCCCUUUGUAGCAUAUCAUUGCAGAUUCCCUGGGAAGAAAAAACACGUUGGAAACGAGGGUGCACAGAGGGCAUGUCAGCAGCUCCUAUCUGCUCAUCUUGACUCCAGAGGAGCUUUUCUGGGUUUGGUGGAUUCACUGUUGUCUGGGAGAUGAGGCUGAUAGCAUAUGAUAGGGCAGAGAUGAGGGGAAGCAGUUCUUCCACUGCUAACUCUCACUGGUCUUCUUCCCAAUCUGCAGUGGAGCCUCCUCACUCCUAAGAUCAACUGUGAGUAGGUUACCAGAGUUUCCGAGGAGGACUGUCACCCCCCUCACAGGGGGAUUCUCAAGACACAGAGCAGACAGGCGCAACCUGCUCAGACACAGCUGUGCAUCUGGGGGUGCAGAGGCACAUGCAGAUGUUAGGCAGCAGUGAGGCCCGGGAGCACACCUCACAGGGUCUGUGCAGACGGCCCCACCCACUCAAGGUGGCCUGCUUGAGACGGGAUCAUUCUACCCCCAGCUCCUGUGGGAUGGCCAGGGGGGCUGAGGCCUUGCAGGCCAGGCAGAAGCCGUGGCACCAUCUCAGUCCCCAGUGAAGCCUCAGGACCCUGAGCGCCCUUCCUACAGUCUGGUCUGAAACUGAAAUGUGCUUAAUGUGUGGCUUUUGGUUUACCUUGUGCUUAGAUGUGCUUGUGGUGAAUAAAAUAGAAAUAUGAAACGUUCCUGAGCAGUAGUCUCUUUGGUCUGUGUGAACACAGUAAUGCUGAGCAUGCAUUCACAAGGAAUUUUCAGGUAAAAGAGGGUUUUCAUCCCAACAAAUGGGAGCCUUCACAGCCGCAGGAAAGUGCCUCGGGUCUUCCUGAGUGACCUGCAUAAGCGGGAGCCUUCGUUCCAGUUGGUGAGCAGCUGCCCAUGAGAAGGCACGAGGCGGGUGGAAGCACCCUUUGGGCCUUGCAAAGCUUGUCUGAUGAAAUUCUGUCUUCUUGUUCCGUCAUGGACACCUGUGCUCAGGGGAACCCACUGUCCUGGGCACCACCCUGGGGUGGUCAGCUCCUUGUCCUUGCUGAAGAGGGCUGCAUUCCAAGAACUCUGAGCAGGGUUAGCCACCAUGUCACCACAGCCCUCACCUGUGACUCCCUGGGAACCAGGCUCUCGGGGACAGAGUGACAGCACAAGCUGCUGCUCCUAGGUGUCAGAACCUGGUGUGUCUGCUGGCCACAUCCCAUGGUGGAGCCAGACCAAGGCUGACGGUCUAGCAUCAGGACCUGGGGCUGGUCAGGCUGCAGCAGGACAGAUGAGGAACUAGCAGGAAGCGGGCUUAUUAGCUGCAGCAGUCCAGAAUGGCUAUUGUCUAAAAAUCUCUGGACCCCAAGUCUGGAAAUUCUUUAAACUUUACACCCAGUGGGGUGGAUCAUGUCAGUCAGUGGGUACAUAACAGUGCACUUUGUCCCAUAUUUCUAGGCUGGACAGAGGUUUCACAAGUUUUUACCAUAGAAAGCAGAAGUUGGGUUUGAGGCUCAGUUACAGCACUUGCCUUACACGCAUGAGGCCCUGGGUCCAGUCCUCAGCACCAUGUUAUAAAACAAAUAAAUAAAAAAUAAAGAUUGUUUUCAGGUACAACUGAAAAAAAUUUAAAUAAAAGAAAGCAGAAGUGCUAAAUUUUUUGUACUUCACUAAGUGUGCUGGUAUAUUUAGCUUUUGCAUGAAAGAGCAACUUAGUCCUUACAGAAAAUAGAAAGUUUCAAACCACAUUGAGUUCUUUGCAGAAAUUUUUGCUAAUAUCUUGUUAAUAAGAACAAUGAUGGUGAGGGUCUCUAGAAAAGCCCACCACGAGACAGUAGUAAAGGCCACUCAGGCGGCCCAGCAGAGCCCAGGUCUUCACAGCCAGCCUGGGACCCGGGCUGCAGUUUUCUCUCUGCCGAGACAGGGAUCAGGUGGUGCCUCCCUCACAGUGAUGCUUCGACGGAUAAGGGGGCGCCAGCACUCCUCCUGAGUUUGGUGUGGCAGUCACAUGGCCCUUCUUGUCACCUGUCAGCAGGUGAAUCUACUCUCCCUUGUGGCACAAAUGCCACCCACUGUCCUCAGCCAGGCUGGAACUCACUUGGAGAGGGUGGAUUUUGAGUUUGAAAAGGUAUGCAAUGUUUGUGGGAUGCCAUUUAAACUUUUAAAAAUGAAAAUAGGUACAAAGUGAACAGAGAGAGUGGAAUGGAUGGUGGAAGCUGUGAUCUCUGAACCUCUUACCACCCAGCCAGGUGUGCAGAUGAGUCAGGACAAUGCUGCCACUCUGCUCCUAGUGACCAAUGGAUUUCAAGGUGGACAUUCUUAAAAAUAAUAAUAAUUAUAUAUAUAGAGUUGUAGAUGAACAAUACCUUUAUUUUAUUUAUUUUUUUAUGUGGUGCUGAGGUUUAAACCUGGUGCCUCACACAUGCAAGGCAGGCACUCUACAUCUGAGCUACAACCCCAGCCCAAGUUAGACAUUCUUGACCCUAAUUUAAGGCCUACUUCAGUGGUAUAACAGGGUGUCUAGAGAGAACACUCCAUUAUUUAAGAGAAGCAUUGGUAACUAUGCUCAGUGGAACUGAAGUCAGAAGAAAUGAACUGGUGGCUGCUGAUAUUUCCUCACCUGGCACAAAUCCGGGGAACAUGGUGGGGAGGGGCUAGGCAGCCUGGAACAACAUCUCCAUUUUGUUGAAAAGGCAUGGAAAAAUACUUCUAAUUAGCAGAGAGCUCGGCAUUGAAGGGCAAACGCAUAAGAUACUGCAAUGUUGCUAACUGAUGCCUUACAGAGCCUUGAAUGAGUAGAUAGUGACUGCUAACUCCAUGGCAAUAAUCUCUGGCUGUAAUUGGAGAGCUACCCUUUGGAAGCAGAGCUCUGGGAAAUACCUGCAGAAAACAGUAUGAGAGAGAUCUGCCCCUGUCUUGUCUUUGAGAAUGUUAGCCCCGCUGUUACAGCUGCUCUUCUGACAGGCCUUUCCUGCUCCUUUCCGACUCACUUUCUUUCUGCUGCUUGUUUUCUAUUGGGGAAUGUACUGCAGUCUUCUCCUGAGGCUGAGGCAUUGGUUAUGUAAAUGUCCCCAGGAACAGGGAGACCAGGAGAAUAACCCGAGUUCUGUGUCCCUGGGGUCUCAGGUGCCAGGCUCAGGAGAGAGUAGGGCUUCAGCCCAGCAGGUUUCCGGCAGCCCCAGGCACUGCCCCAGCCUCCUGCCCCCACACCUCCCCACCUGAGGGCAAGAGCAGGGCAGGAUUCAGAGAAGAGGGGAGUCAGGGAAUGGGUUCUGCUGCUCCCUGGGCGCCCAGCACAGGGCUGAGUGUUGGAGGAACCCCAUGCACCACUCUGCCUGGGACACGGCACUAUGUGACCACUCAGCGGAGGACUCCUCACUGCCCUGAGCCUGGACUGGGUCAUUGAGAAGGAGGAAUGGAGAUGCUCGGAAGACAGCAGGGUCUGAACGAAGCUGUGGCUUGGCACCAGUUUCACCGUCUGUGGUCAGCUCUGAGCAGCCUGGCGUGAGAGGCUGGGGAGAAGGACAGCCAUGGGAAGCUUGGGAAGCCUGGGAGCUGUCUCUGAGGCCAACCAGGCCUGAGUCCUGGAGCACGCUGCUCUCUGGGCUCCCGCCCUGCCCUCCUCCUGCCAGGCCAAGGGCGGAGCUGCCUCCUUCUUUCAUGAAGAGAUUCACAAUUCCUGCACCAAUUCUGGGGGAUACUUUGGCCUUCAGCUGUGAGUCUUAUGAAGGCAUCUCUGAUUGCUGUUACCCAUGUCAUCAGGCCAGAUCGUCUUUGUGUUCCUACCUGGAGCUGUAGGUAGCUCCCACUUCUUGUGUACCCCACUGCAGGGUGAGGACAGCCCCUGACUUGUGGCUCCUUCCCUUCACCCACUCUAGUCCAUCUGGGUUUGCAGAAGACCAGGACAGAGGGGGCCUGGCUCCCUCUUUCACAGCUCCUCUCCUGGGCUAUGGUGAUGAACCUGAGAGAAGAGCCUCACAGGGAAGUCUGCUGCCGGCCUCGCCUCGAGGGGAGUGGCUCCAGAACCCUGCCAGCUGGAGGUGGGCUCUGCAGCAUCAGGGGGCCUGGCACUCAGGGAUCGGCCCUGCAAGGCUGCUGAUGUCAAAGCCAAUUUUCUCUUGCACCUGGGCUCCCUGCCUGUCCAGGAACGUCCUAGCUGCCUGCAGGGCAUAGUUAUGGGUAAUCUGAGCUUCUCGCCUCACUCACCUGCCAGUUGUUAAAAGUCACCAGGUUCCAGCCACCUCAUGGUAUUUAUUUCUCUCACCCAGUGGUUCUUGCACUUGCCUGAUCAAUGAGUCAGUCUGGAAUGCUUAUCACAAACCCAGAAUGCUGGCUGUGGCCCAGCAAGUCUGCAUGCCCAUGUACCUCAGGGUCAGAACCUGCAGCAGGCUCUGCAUGAUGCUAGUUGUCAUGAGACAAGUUGAAAACACUGCUCGUCUUGUGAACCUGGUCUCUGACUUGUUGGAAGGAGAAGAGCCAGAGAAGCGUCCGACCCAGGUUCAUGUGGAGUCUGUGAUGUAAGCUGAGUUUAAUAAGUCAGACCUGCUGGAUGUCAGCAAGGCCAGAAGCAACCGCUGCUCCAUGAAACGUUUUGAUGCUUGCUUCUGAAAAUGAAAAGUUCGUUUUUGUCUUUGAAGAUAAUUCAGUGCCUUGAACAACUUUAGUGCUUUCCCCAUGAGCUCCUUCAGAAACACAGCCUUGCCGCUAGACGCGAGAAUGGAACCUGCCCAGAGCCGAGGAAUCGUGACAGCAGAGGUGGGAGAAGACAACCUGGCUCCACACCUGUUACUAGCAUUUCUCACCACGCUGUUCAGACCAGUGCACUUCACUCACCUGACCAGAGGGGCCUGAACAGCAAGCUUCAACUUGUCAGUGCAACAAGUUACAAGAGGGGGUAGCAUAGACGUCAGCCUUGAGGUUUCUGAGAAAUCGUCAAAGGACAGAUGAGUGAAUGGACCACUUACUCAGAGCGGGGUCCUCGGAAGGAUGGUGAUAAAGUCCACUGCCCCCGUGUGCCAAUCACUGCAUUUCUGCAUUCCUUCCCUAGGUAAAGAUUUGGCUGGACUACUAGAAUCAGUGGGUUCUUAGACUUUUCUCAAGUAUUUUUCCUUAAGUACAUUAAAUGUGGUCCAUUUUAUUUAAGACAUUAAUUUUCCCAUUAGAAUAUACCAGAGAUUCUAGAAUUGUACUGUUAGCCCUCAUUUCUCACCCUCUUUUCCUGAAAAAACUCUUUGGAUAAACAGUUUAUCAAAGCCCAAGUCAGCAUCACUUGGUGACAUUCAGUUUGAUCUCAGAUGCAGCACACCUCUCCUAAUAGACCAUGAGGUAUUUUU